RNAcentral lists this ribosomal RNA (1414 nucleotides) under metagenome. Its description in RNAcentral is "bacterial SSU rRNA". It matches the Rfam family "Archaeal small subunit ribosomal RNA". The record is from RNAcentral.
UCCGGUUGAUCCUGCCGGAGGCUACUGCUAUUGGGAUUCGACUAAGCCAUGCGAGUCGAGAGGGUUCGGCCCUCGGCAUACUGCUCAGUAACACGUGGAUAACCUAACCUCAGGUGGGGGAUAACCUCGGGAAACUGAGAAUAAUACCCCAUAGACCUUGGAUGCUGGAAUGCACCUAGGUCCAAAGAUUUAUCGCCUGAGGAUGGGUCUGCGGCCUAUCAGGUUGUAGUUGGUGUAACGGACCAACUAGCCUUCGACGGGUACGGGCGUUGAGAGACGUAGCCCGGAGAUGGACUCUUAGACACCAGUCCAGGCCCUACGGGGCGCAGCAGGCGCGAAAACUUCGCAAUGCGGGAAACCGCGACGAGGGAAUCCCAAGUGCGUGCACAAUGUGUACGCUGAUUCUUUGUCUAAAAAACGAAGAGAGUAAGGGCUGGGUAAGACCGGUGCCAGCCGCCGCGGUAAUACCGGCAGCUCUAGUGGUAGCCGUUUUUAUUGGGCUUAAAGCAUCCGUAGCCGGUCGGGUAAAUCCCUGGGUAAAUCGUACGGCUUAACCGUGCGAAUUCCGGGGACACUGCCUGACUUGGGACCGGGAGAGGUUAGAGGUACUCUUUGGGUAGGGGUAAAAUCCUGUAAUCCUUAGAGGACGACCAGUGGCGAAGGCGUCUAACCAGAACGGAUCCGACGGUGAGGGAUGAAGCCCUGGGGCACGAACGGGAUUAGAUACCCCGGUAGUCCAGGGUGUAAACGCUGCAGACUUGGUGUUGGUUGUCCUACGAGGGCAACCAGUGCCGGAGAGAAAUUGUUAAGUCUGCCGCCUGGGGAGUACGCUCGCAAGAGUGAAACUUAAAGGAAUUGGCGGGGGAGCACAGCAACGGGUGGAGCGUGCGGUUUAAUUGGAUCAACGCCGGAAACCUCACCGGGGAAGACUGUUACAUGAAGGCCAGGCUGACGACCUUGCCUAAUUUUCAGAGAGGUGGUGCAUGGCCGCCGUCAGUUCGUACCGUAAGGCGUUCUGUUAAGUCAGAUAACGAACGAGACCCUCGUCUUUAUUUGCCCGCGACCCUCCGGGGAAGCAGCACUAUAAAGGGACCGCCUCUGCUAAAGAGGAGGAAGGAGAGGGCAACGGUAGGUCAGUAUGCCCCGAAUUUCCCGGGCUACACGCGCGCUACAAAGGGCGGGACAAUGGGCUGCAACACCGAAAGGUGACGCCAAACCCGAAACCCGCUCAUAGUUCGGAUUGUGGGCUGCAAUUCGCCCUCAUGAAGCUGGAAUCCGUAGUAAUCGCGUUUCAACAUAACGCGGUGAAUACGCCCCUGCUCCUUGCACACACCGCCCGUCAAACCAUCUGAGUUGGGUCUGAGUGAGGGUGCCUCGUCAUUGGGGUAUUCGAACUUGGGUUCAGCAAGGAGGG